This 119-nucleotide microRNA precursor is filed under the name Marmota monax (woodchuck). The record is from RNAcentral. Lineage: Eukaryota; Metazoa; Chordata; Mammalia; Rodentia; Sciuridae.
CAUGGUGACUAAGAAGGAGGGAGGGAGGGAGGGAGAGAGAGAGAGAGAUAUGAUAUGAGAUAGAGAUAAUAUUUUAUCUCUCUCUCUCUCUCUCUCUCUCUCUAUAUAUAUAUAUAUAU